AAAGAUGGCCUCUACUUGUAAGCUAUCGCUUUACGAUGGGUCUGCGUCUGAUUAGCUAGUUGGUGGGGUAACGGCCUACCAAGGCGACGAUCAGUAGCCGGUCUGAGAGGAUGAACGGCCACAUUGGAACUGAGACACGGUCCAGACUCCUGCGGGAGGCAGCAGUGGGGAAUCUUCCGCAAUGGGCGCAAGCCUGACGGAGCAACGCCGCGUGAGUGAAGAAGGGUUUCGACUCGUAAAGCUCUGUUGUCGGGGACGAACGUGGAGAUGGUGAAUAACCAUUUCCAAUGACGGUACCUGACGAGGAAGCCACGGCUAACUACGUGCCAGCAGCCGCGGUAAUACGUAGGUGGCGAGCGUUGUCCGGAAUUAUUGGGCGUAAAGGGAGCGCAGGCGGGAGAUCAAGUCUAUCUUAAAAGUGCGGGGCUCAACCCCGUGAGGGGAUGGAAACUGGUCUUCUUGAGUGCAGGAGAGGAAAGCGGAAUUCCUAGUGUAGCGGUGAAAUGCGUAGAUAUUAGGAGGAACACCAGUGGCGAAGGCGGCUUUCUGGACUGUAACUGACGCUGAGGCUCGAAAGCGUGGGGAGCGAACAGGAUUAGAUACCCUGGUAGUCCACGCCGUAAACGAUGAAUGCUAGGUGUAGGAGGUAUCGACCCCUCCUGUGCCGGAGUUAACGCAAUAAGCAUUCCGCCUGGGGAGUACGGCCGCAAGGCUGCAACUCAAAUGAAUUGACGGA
RNAcentral lists this ribosomal RNA (736 nucleotides) under uncultured bacterium. RNAcentral's name for it is "bacterial SSU rRNA". It matches the Rfam family "Bacterial small subunit ribosomal RNA", at positions 202 to 917 of the family's 1533-position model. The record is from RNAcentral. RNAcentral also lists the same sequence under 1 other name.